AUUUACAACAAAUGUUCAGAAGUAACUUUUUCGCAAAAGACAAUCAUUGAUUCAAAAUGGGGUUAAAAUUCAAGAAAUUCCUGACUUAGUUACAGAUGCUUCGCGUCAUUUUUUUGACAUAAUUAUUAAGGCAGCAUAUACUAAAAAUAAAUGGCACUAACAAUCAGUGGCUAUAGAAAAACUACUCAACUUGAUGAAUGGUCAUUUUCUUCAACCCGGACCCGAUGAAAUCCGAAUUUCUCCAAUUCACAACAUUUUUUUUCCACGAUCUAUAUGGACCUACAUAGAAAAACCUACUCAAUAAAAAAAUCUAAACUUGUGUUCUUGGACGCAGCUAGUAAAAGAAGCAUGAACAGAAGUACAUGGAGACAGCUUACAAUAAUACUAUGCUACAGGUGUUCGAACAUCUCAACCACCCUUAGAUCCACAACUAUCCAGAGCAAUCAAUGAUUGGGCAAAAUCAAGAUCAGAGGAUAAAUUUGAUUUCAGCCAUUAUUCAACUCACCGUGGUAGAAUAAGUUGGAAUAAAAGAAGAAAAAAAAUCCCAUCAAUAUCAUCGAAGAUUCAAAAAACGACUUCAUCAGCCACAACAUCCGCUUCGUUAACUAAAAUAUCAAAUACUACAGAAGAUAGUUCAUGCACUGCAACAGUAACUCCUACUGCUAUAUCACCAUCAACGAACGAACCUUCAGUUACGCCAUACUUUCUUUUACCAACAAUUACUACACCUCUUCCAGUACAUAUUAACUUUGCAUGUAAAACGAAUAUAUCUUCAGUUUGUAGGAGCCUUCUUUCAAAAAAAAAAAAGACAACUCCAGUUACAAA
This is a long non-coding RNA of Chelonus insularis, 825 nucleotides long. RefSeq lists it as uncharacterized. The record is from RefSeq and is a predicted model, not a curated record. The transcript has 4 exons. NCBI's taxonomy places the organism in Eukaryota, Metazoa, Arthropoda, Insecta, Hymenoptera, Braconidae.